Molecule: ribosomal RNA, 253 nt
Filed under: uncultured bacterium
Lineage: Bacteria
Description: partial 16S ribosomal RNA
Rfam family: Bacterial small subunit ribosomal RNA
Source: RNAcentral
UACGAAGGGGGCUAGCGUUGCUCGGAAUUACUGGGCGUAAAGGGCGCGUAGGCGGACAUUUAAGUCAGAGGUGAAAGCCCAGGGCUCAACCUUGGAAUUGCCUUUGAUACUGGAUGUCUUGAGUUCGGGAGAGGUGAGUGGAAUGCCGAGUGUAGAGGUGAAAUUCGUAGAUAUUCGGCGGAAUACCAGUGGCGAAGGCGACUCACUGGCCCGAUACUGACGCUGAGGCGCGAAAGCGUGGGGAGCAAACAGG